RNAcentral lists this long non-coding RNA (1004 nucleotides) under Androctonus crassicauda. Lineage: Eukaryota; Metazoa; Arthropoda; Arachnida; Scorpiones; Buthidae. The record is from RNAcentral.
UAUUAAUGAGAUAUUAGUAUUUUCUAUUAUAAUUAAUUUAUAAAUCUAUAAAUUUGAUUCUAAAAAGAAAUAUUCGGAAAGAUCUUAUCCAUCUUUAAUGACGAAGAUAAGUUUAACUUUUUGAAGAAUGAAUGACAAAAAGAGUAUAAGAAAGCAUGAGAAAGAGGAAAAAGAUCCUGCUAAAAGAUAUUUGUUCAUUAGUGAAAAAGAGAGACCCCUUUUAGUUUUCUUUUAUAUACAUGAGUGCUGGCCCCUAUCUACAAGGAACUCAGAAAGGAUCCAAAUUCAGCUUAGAAGAAUUAUUUCAUUAAAUAAUUUAAAAUGUUUUCUAUAUACAUCAUUCAGAAUGAUAGUUUGUCAAAUUUUUAAUGGUUUAUCAAAUUUCAAUUUGCUGUUUACUAAAGAAAUUAAAUUAACGAUGAUUUGGUAAUUAGAAUGAACAGGAAACAAGUCACAUUCAAAACUCUUCAUUUGAAAGCAUAUGUAAAGUAUGAAAAAAAAUCUCUAACUAGACAAUGAUUAAUUUACAAUUUUACUUAAGAAAUAUGUGAUGUAGAUCAAUUAUUGUCUUACAUAGUUAAAUAUCUCUGUGAGAGAUUGGCCAAGGCAUUGAAGAAUAGGGAUCAGUGGGCCAAGAACAAUAUCCACAAAUGGAUUGAGCAUUGUCCUCAGUGGUUAGUUUGAAUAUUGCAUUCAUAUUUCUUGAAAUAAAUGUUAAUUAAAAAUUACAGACUUUACCAAUACUGACUCGCUAAUCACUUAUUUGUCUUGACAAUGCUGUUAGUUAUUACAAUGAUUACAACAAAUUAGAGCAUAUAUAAAUAAAAAGUCAGUUAUUCAAUAUAUUUAGCAGAUUUGUCUUUCUUCAAAUAACUAUAUCUGUAUAAAACAAAUCAAGGUACAAUAUAAUACUACAAAUAAAACUGCUUCAAAAUGAAUUAAUUUUUAAUUGAUACCAGGGCGCUUUCGGGCAUUAUAACACAUCGUCGGCACAACAGAAUAAA